This 302-nucleotide ribosomal RNA is filed under the name uncultured bacterium. Its description in RNAcentral is "partial 16S ribosomal RNA". It matches the Rfam family "Bacterial small subunit ribosomal RNA", at positions 508 to 809 of the family's 1533-position model. The record is from RNAcentral.
GCAGUAGCCGCGGUAAUACGAAGGGUGCAAGCGUUAAUCGGAAUUACUGGGCGUAAAGCGUGCGUAGGCGGUUUGUUAAGUCUGUUGUGAAAUCCCCGGGCUCAACCUGGGAAUGGCAAUGGAUACUGGCAAGCUAGAGUGUGUCAGAGGAUGGUGGAAUUCCCGGUGUAGCGGUGAAAUGCGUAGAGAUCGGGAGGAACAUCAGUGGCGAAGGCGGCCAUCUGGGACAACACUGACGCUGAGGCACGAAAGCGUGGGGAGCAAACAGGAUUAGAGACCCGUGUAGUCCCUGUCUCUUAUAA